GGGGUUCUUAUUUGAUGGCUUUUUCGGCAAGUCCAAUGGUCGCCAGCUGUGCAUGAUGUCUUAGAAAAGAGGGGAAGGAAGAGAGGAAAGAAGGUCGGAGCUUGCCUCAGGCUCCAAUGACAUCUCUGGCUCCAAUUUUCGACAAGCAAGGGUCUAGAAAUCUGACAUAAAUCAAGAGAAAUGGAGAGAAAAACCUUGGUGAUUUCUAAUGGAGAUUCAUAGGAGAGGGAGAGAGAGUUUUAUAGGAUGGAGGGGAGGUUGAAUCUUAGCUGGAUUUGGUUUCCUCUCUGAUCUAUUCUCGUGGAAGAAGACUAGCUCCCGAUGGGAGUCUUCAAUAUUCUCUUUUCUUUUUUUUUGUUUUCUUAUUCAUGCCCUGAGAUUCAUGUAAGGGGAAAUUUUUGAGGCUGGGUAUUACAUUAAAUUAAGAAAAAUGUAGGAAACAAAAAUAAAAAAUUUCAAUUAUGAAAUAAAAAAAUAAAAUUUGAGCAUAUAAUUUGUCCUACCAUUUGCCUUCCCUUUACUAUCCUAGAUAAUGAGUUAAAGUGU
Molecule: long non-coding RNA, 546 nt
Filed under: Elaeis guineensis (African oil palm)
Lineage: Eukaryota; Viridiplantae; Streptophyta; Magnoliopsida; Arecales; Arecaceae
Description: long non-coding RNA (EGUI_LNC003068)
Source: RNAcentral